RNAcentral lists this long non-coding RNA (204 nucleotides) under Mytilus galloprovincialis (Mediterranean mussel). Lineage: Eukaryota; Metazoa; Mollusca; Bivalvia; Mytilida; Mytilidae. The record is from RNAcentral.
GGGAUGGUCAAUGAUACAAUAGAAAACAAUUCAUUUUUCAACUAGAGCAAAUUCUUUAAAAAAAUCGUGGAUCCACACUGCAUGUUCAUGGUCAAUCACAUUAUUAUCAAUUUGUAACAACAUGCAGCCAUACUAAGAAUAUUUCAUGGAUGGUAAAAUACAACACUGUCUUGUAAAAUAUUUCAAUUUCAAGGUGCCAGAUGA